This 110-nucleotide transfer RNA is filed under the name Candidatus Woesearchaeota archaeon. Its description in RNAcentral is "tRNA-Ala". It matches the Rfam family "tRNA". Rfam says of the family: Transfer RNA (tRNA) molecules are approximately 80 nucleotides in length. The record is from RNAcentral. Lineage: Archaea; Nanobdellati; Candidatus Woesearchaeota.
GGGCGUGUAGCUCAGCUCGGUAGAGCACAACGUUCGCAACGUUGGGGCCUCGGGUUCAAAUAUUGGCACAUCAAUAAACAGGUGCUAGUGAGAAAGUCCCGACACGUCCA